This is a non-coding RNA of Sus scrofa (pig), 1668 nucleotides long. The record is from RefSeq and is a predicted model, not a curated record. Lineage: Eukaryota; Metazoa; Chordata; Mammalia; Artiodactyla; Suidae.
GCAAAGAUGUGGAAUUGACCAUGUUUGUCUGAGAGCCUCAGCAUUAGACUGGCUCACUUUGCAACUGUGUGGUGGCAGGCAACACAGCUGUAAGCAAGCCCAGGAGCUGUGACAUUCUCUGAAUUUUGGAGUCACAGAAUAAAGUUAUUCUUUUGGUUCUACUUGCUUGGAUAUCAUAAAAUCACUUCCAUCAUUCAGCACUAUUAAAUUGCUUGUUGAAGAUGGUGGAUACACUGGCUCAGAAAAUGUGAGGUAGUAUCUCAGGAAUGGGUCGAUGAGUGUCUGUUGAGUUAAGGUAAUGUCUCUGCUUGCCCCAUGUUGUUUGUAGUCCCUUCACAGUGGUGAAGAGAGAGCUGAAGUUAAUCCUCAGUGACACCGUGAUUAUCAGGACCUGAGCUAAGGCUUUUAGUGGAGUUCUAGUUGACAGCUUCAAAUUUUUUUUUUUUUUGAGAAGGUGGAAAUUGGUGGAUAUGAUCCAUCUGCAUCUCUCGAUGUAUUUAUUUUUAUAUUGCAUCUUCUGUCUUUUAAGAAUCUUAUAAUAGUAAUCAAAUACCUCUCUGAACCAGUUGAAGAUGUUUACUUUGAGCUGAAUUGCAUUAAAAUUUUAUUUUUUUAUAUAUAGGAAAUUUAUAAUGGACAUGUGUAAUUGCUUCACUUUGCUGUACAUUUGAAACUAAUAGAAGUUAUAAGUCCAAUAAAUUCUAAUUAUUUCUUUAGUUUGUUUUUGCAUUCUAUUAAAUGAAAUGAAACAAACAAAAAUGUUGUAUGUAGCAUGUGUAAAUUUUAUGGAGUGUUCUAAGCACCAGUUUCUUUUUCACCAGUAGGUGUUAAAAAUGAUAACUUAUUUUUCAUUUGGAAAAACACUGAUGUUCUGUAGAUUAUUUUGGACUAAAUUAUAACUUAACUAGAGAGAAAAAAUAUAUAUAGUUGUUAUACUAUAUGUCAGUUCCUUCCAAAUGGUAGUAAACCUAAUGGUAUCUUCUCUCUGAAUGAAUUAAAAUAUUUCCUGGAGCAAUAAUGUUUUCAAUAUCCCAGAAGCUGCUUUAAUGUGUCUCAGCAAGCAUAAUAUAGUGGCAAUAUAAAUGAUGCAGACUUUGCCUCAAAAUAAGUAAUAACCCACAUUAAUUCUUUGUGAACAUUUUAUACUAUCAAACUGGAAACUAAAAUGAAGAGAUCAUAUCUGUUAUGUGGAAAGAAGGUCUUGUUUUGCACCAACUAUUUAAUAAGAACCGCUAGAAGACCUAGAAAAUGUAAAGUGCAUGUAUCUGAGAUCAUUAGAAACUAAAAGGUCAAGGAUUUGUGUGGCUCAUAUUUUGAAAAUGGAAGUCAGAUAGCUAAACUUGAAUCUGAGGUCCUGUUUUUGCUAAAGAUAUGGGCAGAUACUAAAAACCACGUAUGUAAGGCUGGUGUUACUGAGGCUAUAAGGUAGGCCAGCAGCUUUAGCUCCAAUUCAGCAGUGCACCUGGGAACCUCCAUAUGCUACUGGCAAAGCCAUUAAAAAACAGAUCUUAAUAUACAUGAGAAGAUGCCUAAUAUUACUAAUUUUUAGAGAAGUGCAAAUCAAAAGUAUAAUAGGAAUCACCUACCAAUGCUCAGAAUAGCCAUCAUCAAAAAUUCUACAGAAAAAUAAAUGCUGAGAAGAUGCGAAAGGGGAACACUCCUAUGCUG